CAACAGCCAUGGAUGUUGGAAAUGUAUGUAUAGAAAACUCAGGAUAAGUUAAGAUCCUGGAGAAAAGGCAAAGAAGGAGAGAGCAAAUAGUAACUAGGUGGAAAUCGAAGACAGAGGGUGCGAAAGAGAAGGAUGUUUCUGAAAAUCUUGGGGGUACAAAGACUCUUCUUCGUAAAUGCAGAGGAGGACAAUUACUCUCUGCAAAGGUCUUCCAAAGACUGGGAGAUCCAAAAAUGGUAAAGGAAAGGACCAGUGCUCUGUUGUCACAGAUGAUAAAAAUAGGAUGAGACUUUUGACAUACCAUAUAAUUUCUAACCUAAACAUCCUAGAAGCAUAGAUUAUUGAGUUUUACAAGCAGUUUUACUACUGAAAGAUCUUACGCAUACAGCACUCUGAAAGAGAAAACUAGAUGAAUAACUUCAUCUGGCAGAGUCCUUCCAGUAGCUCACACUGAGAGAAAGAGAGAAAGACCUUGUGGCAUAUGGUGGUGGCAGCUGAUGAAGUGGAGGUGGGAGUGAUUCUUCAGGAUAUCCCUGCUGGCUUCCACUCUUCUGAUACAAGUGUUGCUUCUGCUUGGGAACCCCUAUCUGGUCUGAGGUCUAGAGCAAGUGCUUCAGAAAAGUAGGUCCUUGACAGAUUAAGACUUAGAGGUAAACUCAGAUCCUACCAGUCACAUAUCCUUGCAGAAACUUAUCUUCAUAUCAAAAAACAAGUAUACAGAUGCUCUAAAAAAGUUCUUCUCCUGAAUGUAAGAUUCCCAUCAAUACAGACUGCAUAGUAAAAAAUCCUGUUAAUAGAGGAAUGAUAAUGUAAGAUGUUAUAGUAACUAACUGUGGUUAAUAAUUCUAUUCUUGGUUUUUGUUUGUUUGUUCAUUUUGCUUAGCAAUGGCACUUGCCCAUUAUUACAAGUGCAUAUGUAUACACAUAAUAAAACUCUAACAACAUAUGACA
Molecule: long non-coding RNA, 951 nt
Filed under: Anas platyrhynchos platyrhynchos (common mallard)
Lineage: Eukaryota; Metazoa; Chordata; Aves; Anseriformes; Anatidae
Description: lncRNA (ENSAPLG00000024465.1)
Source: RNAcentral